This 722-nucleotide long non-coding RNA is filed under the name Felis catus (domestic cat). RNAcentral's name for it is "lncRNA (ENSFCAG00000046522.2)". The record is from RNAcentral. Lineage: Eukaryota; Metazoa; Chordata; Mammalia; Carnivora; Felidae.
GAAACUGUGAUUACAUAGCAAAAAAUGAGAUGUUUCAAAAUAAUUUUAAAUCAAUAUUUCCCUGGCUCAACAACUGAGAAAUGGCAUCUAAUAUGCAUGCUGCUGAAGUGGGGCUGGCAGUCAAGGUAAACUCACCAGAACCCAGUCAAGGUGAUUUGAAAACUUCUCUCUUCAGACAAUCAAGUUUUCUUUUCUACCCAUUUACCAUUUUGACAGCAAAAUUAAGAAAUUCAGAUGACAACUUGUCUGAGGGAGAAAACCUAAAGAGAAUAACUCAAAACUGUCAGAUGGCUAUAAAGAAAGAGGCUUGCUUACCUGGCCACGACUAUAGAAAACACUGGGGGAAGACAGCUUGGAGGAGUGGGCAGGCAAAGAGGAACAAGGACCAACUUCUUGUUGAACUAUUAUUUGUAUUGUGUGGAAAAGAACCUGCUAAUACCUCCAGAACCCAGGAUGGAAACAUUGAAAACUGGGCUUGCCAGAGAUGCAGCGCGAGACGAAGAAUUUCAUCAGUCAGAAGGAAAUCAACGUGAGGUCAGCAGCCUGAGGAUCACCAGAAGGUAUUUCCAAAUUUUCCAAAGGGCCACCAAUGUCUAGAGAAGCUGCUUGAAACUAUAUCUUCAACAGUAAACUUGCUUUGGUAAACAUGAUUCAGACUGCAUUGAUAUUGAUAUGAUUAAAAUCCAAGAUUCAAAUAAAUAAGUAAAUAAAAUUAUAAAACA